GCGUCUUUGGUGUAACGGUAACACACUAUCAAAUAGUACAGAGUUUGAAGUACAGUUAAGGUGGAAUCCGGGGUUCGAUCCCCCGAGGACGCA
Mycena latifolia is the source of this 93-nucleotide non-coding RNA. The record is from the annotation of a GenBank genome assembly. NCBI's taxonomy places the organism in Eukaryota, Fungi, Basidiomycota, Agaricomycetes, Agaricales, Mycenaceae.